UAAUUAAUUGAAGUGGGUUCCAAAAGUUAAUAUUACCAUUGUGAAAUCAAUGAUAUUAUCUAUUUUCACUUUGUUUUCCAUCUUCUUCCUUAUUUCUAUAUUUUGAAACCUUAAAUUGAGAGUACUGGAAUAAUCAAAAGUGAGAUGGCAUUAUCAAUAUCUGCCACAAGCUCUACAAUAGCAGAGGAAGGGCUCGAUUUAGAGACGAAGAAGAUCUCCCAAGAGCUCCAAGUUGCUUUUGUAAUGAAACAUGUAACAUGUGGACAGCAUGGAAGGAGUCACAUCCUGGGCGUAGGUUCUUUGGAUGUAGCAAGUAUGAUAAAAGACACCGGGGUGUAGGUUGUGAAUUUUUUCUUUGGAUCGAUCUUCCUAUGUGCGAGAGAGCAAAGGCUGUCAUCAAUGAUCUAAACCAAGAAAAGAAGGCGUUAUGGAAGGAAAAUUGCCAGAUGAUGAAUAUUGGAAAAAAAAAAUGCACAAAAUUUCAGCUGAGUUUACUGAGUUAAAGGAAAAAGUUAAGAGGAUUGGGCUAGAGAAGAAGAAACUGGAAGAAGAAUGUAAAGCUAUAUUGAAGAAAAAGAAACUGUACAAAAUUGGGUGUGUCCUGUCAUGGGUAGUGUUAGUCAUGUUAGUGAUGUUGGGUAAUAUAUGAAUGAGAUUAGGAUUGUUAAUGUAGUGUUUGGUCU
Long non-coding RNA from Ricinus communis (castor bean), 683 nucleotides. RefSeq lists it as uncharacterized. The record is from RefSeq and is a predicted model, not a curated record. Lineage: Eukaryota; Viridiplantae; Streptophyta; Magnoliopsida; Malpighiales; Euphorbiaceae. The transcript is spliced from 2 exons.